GUGCAAAGAUUUAAAACAUGGAUAAUUUUGAUCAUCAAAUUUAAUUACCAAUAAAUGUAACAAGUACUUCUCCUUCAACAUUCCUAAGAAAAUAAUUACAGAUUCAGCAUGAAUACAUAUUCUAAAAGUUCUAAACAAACAACAAAUCACUAUUGUCCAAAAUAUUUACAAAAUGCCUAAAUCUUGCAACACUUUAAUCCUUCGCACAUUCGCAACAUCCAAAAUCCAUUGACAAACAUAUUGCUCCCUAAACUGUUGGAGUUCAUCCUGCAAAAACAAAAUAGCACAACAAAUGAAUAAAAUACAACAUAUAUAAUAGAGGUCCACAACAUUUAUAACUAAUAUGUCUUUUUGGCGUUUGAUAUUUAUUCUUCUUGAAAUUAUAAUUGGGUUUUGGGUAUAAAGGGAUGGAAACGAAAUGAGAGAGACUGAAGGCACCUUCAUUGAUAUUUGACUUGAUAUAAUCAACAAUCCUUUAUUUUAUUCUUAUACUAAAUCAUAAUCUGAAGUUCCAUCUACAUGAGGAAACAAAUCAUAAAACUAAUUUAUGGAAAUUAAUCCCAAGAGAUAAGAUAUUCUAUGAUUUAUGUAGAUAUCAUUGGAUAUUCUUCAUAUAUUCUAAAAAUUCUCAUGAAUGAUAUUUAAGUUAUGUUCUAUUGUGAUGAUUAAGUUCUCCUUGAAUAUAUAAAACCAGUAUUUCAAAUCAGUUCAAAUUUGAACCAAAUUUAUCAGUUCUGGUUGGUAUCUCAUGACAGAAGCAUGAAAACAAAAAUCUUGCAUUGAACAUUUUGCUGACAUGCCCCUUCUACCAUCCAAAGAACAAAAGCCUACCCACAUUUCUUUAUCGUCUACUCUCAUACCAGUAUCAUCUACUCGUUUCUAGCAAACAAUAACAAAAAUAGAGAAAAUAACAAAACAAAAAACGUGGUAAAGGUAACACUCCUUGAAUUUGUCAGAAGUAUAAGAAAAAGGACUGAAAUCAUAAACAUCAAUUCCAAAAACCAAUCACGAUGACAAAGUAUGCAACACACGCGUUAAGUAAGCAACAAAGUCAAUGAAUCUCAAAUAUAUUCCAAAAGGAAAAUGAACAUGAAACUUAAAUCUACACCAAGCACACCAGAGCAACCAGCAGAAGACCAAAUGGAAGACCCAGACAACCUUACAAUUCUUGAAGCAAAAUGGAAGAAGCUAACCUUGGGUUUAGGGUUCUGCCGCAACCAAAUCGAACCGCGGUUUUGGUGGAUGUUAGACGGCGGCGGGUGUCUGAAGGCUUGAGUGCGGUAGCGGUGGUGACCGGUGGGGACGAGAUGGUGAGAGGCGGUGGUGGGUGAUUCUUGAACGCUCUUUUAGGGUUCUGCGGAAGGGGGAAGCGAAGCGGGUUUGCGGGUACGGGAGGUUCGCGAAAUGGAUAUUAGAAUUUUAAUUAAACCCG
RNAcentral lists this long non-coding RNA (1432 nucleotides) under Vigna radiata. RNAcentral describes it as "long non-coding RNA (VRAD_LNC010958)". The record is from RNAcentral. Lineage: Eukaryota; Viridiplantae; Streptophyta; Magnoliopsida; Fabales; Fabaceae.